AAAAAAAAAAAACAACUUAUAGUAGGCCCAUUAUUUCAUUCUAUCGAAAAAUUCCAAAACAAAAUCGGACUUUCCCUUGGUUUCCUUGACCUCAAUUUUCUCAGGAACCAAACAGAAUGCCAAUAAAGAAACUUGUAAAUUUUGCAAUUGAGGACACCAUGAAACACAAUAAAAAUUAAAUCCAAACAAACACAACAAGAAGACAGUAAUCAGA
This 214-nucleotide unclassified non-coding RNA is filed under the name Hevea brasiliensis (rubber tree). The record is from RNAcentral. Lineage: Eukaryota; Viridiplantae; Streptophyta; Magnoliopsida; Malpighiales; Euphorbiaceae.